UCAAGCGAACAAGGGCGCAGGGCGAAUGCCUUGGCACUGGGAGCCGAUGAAAGACGUGAUAAGCUGCGAUAAGCUUCGGGGAGCUGCAAAUAAGCAUUGAUCCGGAGAUUUCUGAAUGAGGAAACUCACUUGGGUUCAUACUCAAGUACGUUGCACUGAAAUUUAAAAUAGGUGCAUCGAGGGAACCGCCUGAACUGAAACAUCUAAGUAGGGCGAGGAAGAGACAUCAAACGAGAUUCCGUAAGUAGUGGCGAGCGAACGCGGAAGAGGGCAAACCGAAGGUAGAAAUACCUUCGGGGUACGGACUGCUUUUAGGACUCGAUCUGUUAACCGAACGGCAUGGGAAGGCCGGUCAGAGAGUGUGAGAACCACGUAGGUGAAAACGGAGAGAGCUGCGCAGAUUCCAGAGUACGGCCAGACACGUGAAACCUGGUCGGAAGAUGGGGGGACCACCCUCCAACCCUAAAUACUACCCAGUGACCGAUAGCGUAUAGUACUGUGAAGGAAAGGUGAAAAGCACCCCGGGAGGGGAGUGAAAAAGAACCUGAAACCCUGUGCCUACAAGCACCUAGAGCACGUCAAUGUGUGAUAGGGUACUUUUUGUAGAACGGUCCGGCGAGCGAUUGUAUGCAGCAAGGUUAAGGACUUAAGGUCUGGAGCCGAAGCGAAAGCGAGUUUGAAAAGGGCGUUAAGUUGCAUAUAAUGGGCCCGAAACCGGGUGACCUACCCAUGGUCAGGUUGAAGUGGAAGUAAAAUUCCAUGGAGGACCGAACCGACCUCCGUUGAAAAGGCGGCGGAUGAACUGUGGGUAGCGGAGAAAUUCCAAUCGAACCCGGAGAUAGCUGGUUCUCCCCGAAAUAGUUUUAGGACUAGCCUCAAGUUAGAUACCUGGAGGUAAAGCACUGAAUAGCCUAGCGGCCGAGAGGUUAGCGAAGCUUAUCAAACUCAGAAUGCCAGAGUAUUGAUGCUUGGGAGUCAGACAGUGUCAGAUAAAUGUCAUUGUCAAAAGGGAAACAGCCCAGAUCUACAGCUAAGGUCCCAAAGUCAGGUUAAGUGGAAAACGAUGUGAAGAUACGCAGACAACCAGGAUGUUGGCUCAGAAGCAGCCACUCAUUCAAAGAGUGCGUAAUAGCUCACUGGUCGAGCGUCUUUGCGCGGAGAAUUUAACGGGGCUAAACCUGACACCGAAGCUUAGGCAAUCCAGUAAUGGAUUGGGUAGGGGAGCGUUGUAUACGCGGAGAAACAGUAGCGUAAGCGGCUGUGGAGUGUAUAGAAGUGAGAAUGCCGGAAUGAGUAGCGCGAAUGCAGUGAGAAUCUGCAUGGCCGAAAGCCUCAGGUUUUUGGAGGAAGGUUCGUCCGCUCCAAGUUAGUCGGGAGCUAAGGUGAGGCCGGAAGGCGUAGCCGAUGCACAGACGGUAGAGAUUCCGUCACCACCAAAAGAGUUAAGCACAGGGACACAUUUGAAGUCUCAGAGCCGGGUGUUGGUUCCGGUAGAGAUCGAGGGAAAUUAGUACCGAAGUCUGGGAUGGAAGAUGGCGAGAAAAGCUGUGUGUAUUUCUGAGGUGCCCGUACCGCAAACCGACACAGGUAGGUAGGAAGAAGAUUCUAAGGCCAACGGGAGAAGGGUUGUUAAGGAACUCGGCAAAUUGACCCCGUAACUUCGGGAGAAGGGGUGCUCCAGAGAUGGAGCCGCAGAGAAUCGGCCCAAGCAACUGUUUACCAAAAACACAGGUUUGUGCUAAAUCGAAAGAUGACGUAUACGAGCUGACGCCUGCCCGGUGCUGGAAGGUUAAGAGGAGAUGUGCAAGCAUUGAAUCGAAGCCCCAGUGAACGGCGGCCGUAACUAUAACGGUCCUAAGGUAGCGAAAUUCCUUGUCAGGUAAG
This 1884-nucleotide ribosomal RNA is filed under the name human gut metagenome. RNAcentral describes it as "bacterial LSU rRNA". It matches the Rfam family "Bacterial large subunit ribosomal RNA", at positions 3 to 1980 of the family's 2925-position model. The record is from RNAcentral.